GCUCGUGGAACGAGCGGCGGACGGGUGAGUAACACGUGGGCAACCUGCCUGUAAGACCGGAAUAACCCCGGGAAACCGGGGCUAAUGCCGGGUAAUACUUUUCUUCGCAUGAAGGAAAGUUGAAAGAUGGCUUCUCGCUAUCACUUACAGAUGGGCCCGCGGCGCAUUAGCUAGUUGGUGAGGUAACGGCUCACCAAGGCGACGAUGCGUAGCCGACCUGAGAGGGUGAUCGGCCACACUGGGACUGAGACACGGCCCAGACUCCUACGGGAGGCAGCAGUAGGGAAUCUUCCGCAAUGGACGAAAGUCUGACGGAGCAACGCCGCGUGAACGAUGAAGGUCUUCGGAUCGUAAAGUUCUGUUGUUAGGGAAGAACAAGUACCGUGCGAAUAGAGCGGUACCUUGACGGUACCUAACGAGGAAGCCCCGGCUAACUACGUGCCAGCAGCCGCGGUAAUACGUAGGGGGCAAGCGUUGUCCGGAAUUAUUGGGCGUAAAGCGCGCGCAGGCGGUUCCUUAAGUCUGAUGUGAAAGCCCACGGCUCAACCGUGGAGGGUCAUUGGAAACUGGGGAACUUGAGGACAAAAGAGGAGAGUGGAAUUCCCCGUGUAGCGGUGAAAAUGCCUAUAUAUGUGGAGGAACACCAGCGGCGAAGGCAACUCUCUGGGUCUGUUUUCUCUAUUAUUAUUGGGAGAACGCGCGCGCCGGGUUUUCUUUUUUUUUGAUCCAACCCCCCCCGUCUACCCCAGUGUGGGUCUUUUAAAAUUGGGGAAUUGAAGGACAAAAGAGAGGAGGUGAAUUUCCUCGUGGGGGCGGUAAAAAGGGGUUAAAUAGUGGGGGGGAACCCCAGGGGGGGAGGGGGGUUUUUUUGUUUUUUUUUUUGACGGUGAGGUGGGGAAAGCGUGGGUAGAAAACAGGAUAUAGAUACCUGGGGUAUUCCCACGCCGUAAACGAUGAGUGUUAGGUGUUAGGGGGCUUCCACCCUUUAGUGUGGAAGUAAACGCAUAAGGCACUCCGCUGGGGAGGUACGGCGGCAAGGUUGAAACUCAAAGGAAUUGACGGGGGCCCGCCCAAGGGGUGGAGCAUGUGGUUUAUUUGGAAGCAACGGGAAGAACCUUACCAGGUCUUGACAUCCUUGGACCUCCCUAGAGAUAGGGAUUUCCUUUCGGGGACCAAGUGACAGGUGGUGCAUGGUUUUGUUCAGCUCGUGUCGUGAGAUGUUGGGUUAAGUCCCGCAACGAGCGCAACCCUUAAUUUUAGUUGCCAGCAUUCAGUUGGGCAUUUUAAGGUGACUGCCGGUGACAAACCGGAGGAAGGGGGGGAGGACGUCAAAUCAUCAUGCCCCUUAUGACUUGGGCUACACACGUGUUACAAUGGAUGGUACAAAGGGCAGGGAAGCCGCGAGGUGUAGCAAAUCCCAUAAAACCAUUUUCAGUUCGGAUUGCAGGCUGCAAUUCGCCUGCAUGAAGCCGGAAUCGCUAGUAAUCGCGGAUCAGCAUGCCGCGGUGAAUACGUUCCCGGGCCUUGUACACACCGCCCGUCACACCACGAGAGUUGGCAACACCCGAAGUCGGUGAGGUAACCAUUGGAGCCAGCCGCCGAA
Molecule: ribosomal RNA, 1603 nt
Filed under: Halobacillus profundi
Lineage: Bacteria; Bacillati; Bacillota; Bacilli; Caryophanales; Bacillaceae
Description: 16S ribosomal RNA
Rfam family: Bacterial small subunit ribosomal RNA
Source: RNAcentral